UUCAAUUACUUCACUUCCGUGCCAGUUUUUGGCUGUAGUUCGAGACCCAUUCGCGAUGAAUGGGUGUGUAUUGGCUGAACCGGAUUGGACAACUACAACACCCACAAUGCACCUCGCAAGGUUACGUAACGUCCCAGCGUCCGUCAGGGAAGCAGUUGACAGCAGUGAAGAGCAGGCCGAAGUGGGUAAACAAAACAAACAUAUGAAGAAAAGACUGAGAACUACCCCAAAGUUUGGUCUUAUUUUAUAUUUAUAUGAUGUUUGACGUCGUUCUAAAGCGACUUGAAACCCGCUGAAGUAGAAAAUCGGUAGCUAAGAGAGGGCGUGCACCUGUCAAAGCUAAAUAGGUUAACGCGGCUAACGUGUGCUCGCUCAGGUUAGCUCGGCCAUGUCGUCCCCCUCCUCUUCCAGGCGCCAGUGGUGCUACCUGUGCGACCUGCCAAAGAUGCCAUGGACCGUGGUGUGGGACUUCAGCGAGGUGGUCUGUCGCGGCUGUGUGAACUACGAGGGCGCCAAUCAGAUUGAAUUCCUCAUUGCGAGUGCCAGACAGUUGAAACGGACUCACGGGAUGCAGGACGGGAACGUUCGGUCACCCGGUCCGUCGCCCAAUAAACACGGCACGACUAGCAGAGGAGAGGCGGUGGCAGACGGGGGCAGACCGCACACCGACCGCUUUGAGAGGGGAGGGAGAGGAGAAGGUGCCGGGUCCGCUAUCCGCGUGCCGCCAAACGGGCUGCACCGUGAUGGGCAGCCACCACCUGAGGUGAACCGGCAGAGCCCUAGCGGGAGCAGGAGACCCAUGCUAGGCGCUGCCAUCCCUCCAAGUCUAGUAACUCAAAGUAUUGCAGGGAUCCCUCAUGGGCUGCUUGCAGGCAUGCCGGCGGGUCUGACCGCCAGGACCGCCCCCAUGAGCAGCCCCAUGAUCUUCCCUGCUCCGGUGUUGGCCGAGAUGAGCCGCAGACAGCUGGGAAUAGGAAUGGGGAUAGGCCCUUACAUCUCAGCUCCGGAGCUCGAGCGGGAGCUGAGUGCAUCCCAGAACCAGUCCAAGAUACAGACGCAGGUCCACACGUCUGUGGCUGGCAGCAGCACUGGCAAAAGCACAGGCCUCCCUUCCUCGUCCUCCUCCAUGGCUGGAGGUGUGAGCCAGACAAGCCCGAAGCCUGCCUCAUCUCCAGCCAGGCAACCACGACCCUUGGCUGCGAGGUCAGGAGGAGAGCCCCUGGGAUCCAGCACCUCUGCAGAAGCAGCCACCACAGCUGCAGCUUUACCCCACAGUGGUGCCUCCGAGCUGGGAUCAGCGUCAGUAAACAACACCCAUUCAACCGGAAACACUCUGUCCUGCACCUUGUGUCACGAGAGGCUGGAAGACACACACUUUGUUCAGUGUCCAUCAGUGCCAGGGCACAGGUUCUGCUUCCCCUGCACCAGAGUGUACAUCCAGAGCCGGCGCGGUGAUGGGGAGGUGUACUGCCCCAGCGGAGAGCGCUGUCCGUUGGAUAACUCUCCCAACAGUCCUCCUUGGGCAUUCAUGCAGGGAGAGGUCUCAACCAUACUGGGCACCGGCGCAGUGGGAGCAGGAGCUGCAUCGGCCGCUGCAUCCGGAGCCGGGACCGGGCCUGGGCCAGGAGCUGCAUCCGGGGCCGGACCUGGAGCUGCCAGUGGAGCCGGAGCUGCAAGUGGAGACGUCACCAUCAAGAAAGAGAGAGAGACGUGAUGAUAAUUUCCACAGAAACCAGGACCCAACACAGCCACAGGCAGGUCCACAGAUGUCAGAGUCCUGUUUUUAGUAGAAAGCAGCAUGCACGUUGUAUCACACACAGGGAGACGUCUGCACUGGACCACUCACAGAUCCAGAAUAGAAGCCACACGCAGUGACCCGAAGUUCAGAAAAAACUCCUUUACAUAGGUUUUAACUCUAUCUACUCACACCGCCCA
Molecule: RNA transcript, 1935 nt
Organism: Scomber scombrus (Atlantic mackerel)
Lineage: Eukaryota; Metazoa; Chordata; Actinopteri; Scombriformes; Scombridae
Gene: irf2bp1
Gene name: interferon regulatory factor 2 binding protein 1
Exons: 3
Source: RefSeq, a predicted model, not a curated record